Molecule: ribosomal RNA, 447 nt
Filed under: uncultured bacterium
Lineage: Bacteria
Description: bacterial SSU rRNA
Rfam family: Bacterial small subunit ribosomal RNA
Source: RNAcentral
UCGGGAAUUUUGGGCAAUGGGGGAAACCCUGACCCAGCAACGCCGCGUGAAGGAUGAAGUAUUUCGGUAUGUAAACUUCGAAAGAAUAGGAAGAAUAAAUGACGGUACUAUUUAUAAGGUCCGGCUAACUACGUGCCAGCAGCCGCGGUAAUACGUAGGGACCAAGCGUUGUUCGGAUUUACUGGGCGUAAAGGGCGCGUAGGCGGCAUGACAAGUCACUUGUGAAAUCUCUGGGCUUAACCCAGAACGGCCAAGUGAUACUGUCGCGCUAGAGUGCAGAAGGGGCAAUCGGAAUUCUUGGUGUAGCGGUGAAAUGCGUAGAUAUCAGGAGGAACACCGGUGGUGUAGACGGCUUUCUGGACCAUUACUGACGCUGAGGCACGAAAGCGUGGGGAGCAAACAGGAUUAGAUACCCUGGUAUUCCCUGAGCGGGCUGGCAAGGCGCAU